GUCAGUGACCAUACCACGUAGAAAGCACCGGUUCUCGUCCGUUCACCGAAGUUAAGCUACGUUGGGCCUAGUUAGUACUUGCAUGGGUGACCGGCUGGGAAUAACGGGUGUUGCUGACA
Schistocephalus solidus is the source of this 119-nucleotide non-coding RNA. Lineage: Eukaryota; Metazoa; Platyhelminthes; Cestoda; Diphyllobothriidea; Diphyllobothriidae. The record is from Rfam.